Long non-coding RNA from Oncorhynchus gorbuscha (pink salmon), 561 nucleotides. RefSeq lists it as uncharacterized. Lineage: Eukaryota; Metazoa; Chordata; Actinopteri; Salmoniformes; Salmonidae. The transcript is spliced from 3 exons. The record is from RefSeq and is a predicted model, not a curated record.
UGAUGUCCUCUGCCUGGGCUGGCUGAGCUGUGCAUGUUGAAACAUGCCUCGACUUGUACUGGCUCGCCUGGCCGAGGAAGGAGAGAGGGCAAGGCUCUCAACGGUUUCACCAUGCCCUGCUUGAAGUGACCCCCUGGGCAGACAAACAGGAACCGGCAGAGCUGCUCAACUCUGGCAGUUGACUGUCCUGGACACUCAAGAGUGGACAGACACACUGAACAGAACCAGAACAGGACCCUGGAUCUUUAGCCAGUCUAUAAUCUGUCCUCGAUCCAAACACUACUUUACUGCCUAGCUCUUGGGGAUUCCCCUUCACAGUGAAACCUCCUCUUCAUCAGCCGAGACAGCAGGCUUCCUCCACUUACCUACCAGCUGCCACAGAGGAACCACAACGUUUAUCAAGGUGGGAAGCAGGCAGACUUGGAAUGAAAAUCACAGGAGGACUACCUCACUAUACCCCCUUCGAGGCGGACACCUAUUGAACUGACCAUUCUCUGACAACAUCACCGGGUCGGACCUGACAGUGACCACUGUGUGUGUGUGUGUGUGUGUGUGUGUGUG